AGAGUUUGAUCAUGGCUCCGAAUAAACGCUAGUGAUAUGCUUAACACAUGCAAGUUGAAUGCUUUUUUUUAAUAAUUAAAGCAUAGCGAACGGGUGAGUAGUGUGUAAGAAUUUGCCGAUAAGUUCAGGAUAAGUAUAGCAUUUUAAAUGCGAAUUGCUUUAGGGCAAGUAUAAAUACUGUAUAUAUAAAGGUUAUACGCCGCUUAUUGAUAAGCUUACAUAGUAUUAGGUAGUUGGUGAAGUAAUGGUUUACCAAGCCAAAGAUGCUUAGCUGAUUUUAGUGGAUGUACAGCCACACUGGGACUGAGACACGGCCCAGACUCUUCAAGAGGCAGCAGUGAGGAAUAUUGGACAAUGGACGAAAGUCUGAUCCAGCAAUGUCGCGUGGGGGAUGACGGCUUUUUGGUCUUAAACCUCUUUUUAUAAUAAAAAUUAUGAUUAGUUAUAGAAUAGUCCCGGCUAAUUCUGUGCCAGCAGCCGCGGUAAUACAGAAGGGACAAGUGUUAUUCAUCAUAACUGGGCGUAAAGAGUUUGUAGGCGGAUAAAUAAGUUAAAAUAAAAUUCCAAAGCUUAACUUUGGGCAAAGUUUUAAUACUGUUUAUCUAGAGUUUAAGAGGGGAUAAUAGAAUUUCUACAGUAACGAUAAAAUGUUUAGAUAGUAGAAGGAAUGCCAGAGGCGAAGGCGAUUAUCUGGCUUAAUACUGACGCUGAGAAACGAAAGCUUGGGUAGCAAACAGGAUUAGAGACCCUGGUAGUCCAAAGCUGUAAACGAUGAGUGUUAAGUGUUGGAUUUAUUUUCAGUGCUACAGCUAACGCGUUAAACACUCCGCCUGGGAAGUACGGUCGCAAGAUUAAAACUCAAAGGAAUUGACGGAAGCUCGGACCAGCGGUGGAGCAUGUGGUUUAAUUCGAUAAUACGCGCAAAAUCUUACCAGUUCUUGUAUUUUAAAUAUACAAAUUAUUUUAGUUUAUAAUUUUUUUUAAAACAGGUGUUGCACGGCUGUCGUCAGCUCGUGUCGUGAGAUGUUUUGGUUAACUCCUUUAUAACGAGCGAAACCCUUCUCUUUAGUUAUUAUUAGGUAUUUUGAUUAAUAUCUAAUAACCCUUUAAAGAUACAGCUAAUGAAAAUUAGAGGAAGGAAAGGAUCACGACAAGUCAUCAUGGCCCUUAUGAACUGGGCUACACAUGUGCUACAAUAGCAAUAUACAAUGCGUUGCAAAAAUGUAAAUUUGAGCUAAUCGUUAAAAAUUGUUAAAGUUCGGAUUGUUAGGCUGGAACUCGCCUACAUGAAGAUGGAAUCGCUAGUAAUCGGAAAUCAGCACGUUUCGGUGAAACAAAAUACGAGCUUAGUACAAACCGCCCGUCACAUUAUGAAAGUAAGUUUUAUUUAAAGUUUGGUAACGUUUAUAUUUUUAUAAGUAUAUAAGGUUUUAUUUAAAAACCUUUCUUAUAUAUUUGUUUUUUGUUACCUUAUUAGGAUUAGAUUUGUGAUUGUAAUGAAGUCGUAACAAGGUA
Molecule: ribosomal RNA, 1515 nt
Filed under: uncultured bacterium
Lineage: Bacteria
Description: bacterial SSU rRNA
Rfam family: Bacterial small subunit ribosomal RNA
Source: RNAcentral